CUCUUAGGCAAAUCCGGGAUCACUUACGCCGAGCACCGAGACGAGUCCUAUGAGGACGAAGUGACUGACACCACGCUUCCAGGAAAAGCCACUAAGCUUCAGCUUAAGAAAAACCGUACCGCAAACCGACACAGGUAGGCAGGGUGAGAAUCCCAAGGCGCUUGAGAGAACUCGGGUGAAGGAACUAGGCAAAAUGGCACCGUAACUUCGGGAGAAGGUGCGCCCUUUGGUGUGGUCACGUGCGUGACUGAGCAUCGAAGGGUCGCAGUAACCUGGCCGCUGCGACUGUUUAUCAAAAACACAGCACUCUGCAAACACGAAAGUGGACGUAUAGGGUGUGACGCCUGCCCGGUGCUGGAAGGUUAAUUGAUGGGGUCAGCCGCAAGGCGAAGCUCUUGAUCGAAGCCCCAGUAAACGGCGGCCGUAACGAUAACGGUCCUAAGGUAGCGAAAUUCCUUGUCGGGUAAGUUCCGACCUGCACGAAUGGCGUAACGACAGCGGCGCUGUCUCCACCCGAGACUCAGUGAAAUUGAAAUCGCUGUGAAGAUGCAGCGUUCCCGCGGCAAGACGGAAAGACCCCGUGAACCUUUACUAUAGCUUUACACUGAACGUUGAGUUCUUCUGUGUAGGAUAGGUGGGAGGCUAUGAAACCAGGACGCUAGUUCUGGUGGAGCCAUCCUUGAAAUACCACCCUGAAGUGCUUGACGUUCUAACCUAGGCCCGUAAUCCGGGUCAGGGACCGUGUAUGGUGGGUAGUUUGACUGGGGCGGUCUCCUCCCAAAGAGUAACGGAGGAGCACGAAGGUACGCUCAGCGCGGUCGGACAUCGCGCACUGUGUGCAAAGGCAUAAGCGUGCUUGACUGCGAGAUCGACGGAUCAAGCAGGUACGAAAGUAGGUCUUAGUGAUCCGGUGGUUCUGUAUGGAAGGGCCAUCGCUCAACGGAUAAAAGGUACUCCGGGGAUAACAGGCUGAUACCGCCCAAGAGUUCAUAUCGACGGCGGUGUUUGGCACCUCGAUGUCGGCUCAUCACAUCCUGGGGCUGUAGCCGGUCCCAAGGGUAUGGCUGUUCGCCAUUUAAAGUGGUACGCGAGCUGGGUUCAGAACGUCGUGAGACAGUUCGGUCCCUAUCUGUCGUGGGCGUUGGAGAUUUGAGGGGGGCUGCUCCUAGUACGAGAGGACCGGAGUGGACGUUCCGCUGGUGUUCGGGUUGUCAUGCCCAUGGCAUUGCCCGGUAGCUACGAACGGAAGUGAUAACCGCUGAAAGCAUCUAAGCGGGAAGCACGCCCCAAGAUGAGAUCUCCCGAGAGCUUGACUCUCCUAAAGGCACCAUCAAGACUAGGUGGUUGAUAGGUCAGGUGUGGAAGCGCAGCAAUGCGUUGAGCUAACUGAUACUAAUGAGCCGUGAGGCUUGAUC
RNAcentral lists this ribosomal RNA (1415 nucleotides) under metagenome. Its description in RNAcentral is "bacterial LSU rRNA". It matches the Rfam family "Bacterial large subunit ribosomal RNA", at positions 1529 to 2925 of the family's 2925-position model. The record is from RNAcentral.